This 497-nucleotide ribosomal RNA is filed under the name uncultured bacterium. Its description in RNAcentral is "partial 16S ribosomal RNA". It matches the Rfam family "Bacterial small subunit ribosomal RNA", at positions 28 to 507 of the family's 1533-position model. The record is from RNAcentral.
GAUGAACGCUGGCGGCGUGCCUAAUACAUGCAAGUCGAGCGAACAGACGAGGAGCUUGCUCCUCUGACGUUAGCGGCGGACGGGUGAGUAACACGUGGAUAACCUACCUAUAAGACUGGGAUAACUUCGGGAAACCGGAGCUAAUACCGGAUAAUAUAUUGAACCGCAUGGUUCAAUAGUGAAAGACGGUUUUGCUGUCACUUAUAGAUGGAUCCGCGCCGCAUUAGCUAGUUGGUAAGGUAACGGCUUACCAAGGCAACGAUGCGUAGCCGACCUGAGAGCGUGAUCGGCCAGACUGGAACUGAGACACGGUCCAGACUCCUACGGGGGGCAGCGGUACGGAAUCUUCCGCGAUGGAGGAAAGCCGGACGGUGCAACGCCGCGUGAGUGAUGAAGGUCUUCGGAUCGGAAAACUCUGUUAUUAGGAAAGAACAAAUGUUUAAGUAACUAUGCACGUCUUGACGGUACCUAAACAGAAAGCCACGGCUAACUACGUG